Molecule: ribosomal RNA, 402 nt
Filed under: uncultured Novosphingobium sp.
Lineage: Bacteria; Pseudomonadati; Pseudomonadota; Alphaproteobacteria; Sphingomonadales; Sphingomonadaceae
Description: partial 16S ribosomal RNA
Rfam family: Bacterial small subunit ribosomal RNA
Source: RNAcentral
UGGGGAAUAUUGGACAAUGGGGGAAACCCUGAUCCAGCAAUGCCGCGUGAGUGAUGAAGGCCUUAGGGUUGUAAAGCUCUUUUACCCGGGAUGAUAAUGACAGUACCGGGAGAAUAAGCCCCGGCUAACUCCGUGCCAGCAGCCGCGGUAAUACGGAGGGGGCUAGCGUUGUUCGGAAUUACUGGGCGUAAAGCGCACGUAGGCGGCUAUUCAAGUCAGAGGUGAAAGCCCGGGGCUCAACCCCGGAACUGCCUUUGAAACUAGGUAGCUAGAAUUCUGGAGAGGUCAGUGGAAUUCCGAGUGUAGAGGUGAAAUUCGUAGAUAUUCGGAAGAACACCAGUGGCGAAGGCGACUGACUGGACAGAUAUUGACGCUGAGGUGCGAAAGCGUGGGGAGCAAACA